GAGGGUAUAGCUUAGUGGUAGAGUGUGUGCUUAGUGUGCAUGAGAGGUCCUGGGUUCAAUCCCCAGUACCUGCA
Molecule: transfer RNA, 74 nt
Filed under: Camelus bactrianus (Bactrian camel)
Lineage: Eukaryota; Metazoa; Chordata; Mammalia; Artiodactyla; Camelidae
Also listed under: 2 other names
Rfam family: tRNA
About the family: Transfer RNA (tRNA) molecules are approximately 80 nucleotides in length. Their secondary structure includes four short double-helical elements and three loops (D, anti-codon, and T loops). Further hydrogen bonds mediate the characteristic L-shaped molecular structure. tRNAs have two regions of fundamental functional importance: the anti-codon, which is responsible for specific mRNA codon recognition, and the 3' end, to which the tRNAs corresponding amino acid is attached (by aminoacyl-tRNA synthetases). tRNAs cope with the degeneracy of the genetic code in two manners: having more than one tRNA (with a specific anti-codon) for a particular amino acid; and 'wobble' base-pairing, i.e. permitting non-standard base-pairing at the 3rd anti-codon position.
Source: Rfam by way of RNAcentral